RNAcentral lists this long non-coding RNA (325 nucleotides) under Equus caballus (horse). RNAcentral describes it as "lncRNA (ENSECAG00000048966.1)". Lineage: Eukaryota; Metazoa; Chordata; Mammalia; Perissodactyla; Equidae. The record is from RNAcentral.
UUACCUCUCACCGAGAUGCACCCAAAGCCUAUCAGCCACAGAUCCAUACCACAAAAGAUGAAAACAUUUUUAAGAAAGAGAUUAAAAAGGAGGGAAAGCAGACAUGAUAUCGCUGGGCAACAGAGAAGCUGGGUGGGAGGGGACCCACAGGCCAACAGCCUCAGCUGCAAACAAUCAAUGACACUCUCCGAGGAGUUCUCAACAGGACAAACAGUGGCUGAUGCUACUUGGGUAAUCAUCAUUAUCUCAGAACCUUCUGGAACCACACCAGCUGCAAAUGAUAUAUCAUCAUCUACCCUCUUGUAGAAAACAAAGAUUUGUCUUG